AGCUUUGCCUAGUGGCAGUAUCAUAGCCAAUGAGGUUUAACCGAGGUGUAUAUUAUUGCUAAUUGAAAAAUGAAACUAGAGUCUUACAAAUAGUUUAAGGUUUUUUUGUUUUUUAAUAAAA
Monodelphis domestica (gray short-tailed opossum) is the source of this 121-nucleotide small nuclear RNA. Its record names the gene U4. It matches the Rfam family "U4 spliceosomal RNA". From Rfam's summary of the family: U4 small nuclear RNA (U4 snRNA) is a component of the major U2-dependent spliceosome. The structure of U4 snRNA from yeast and human has been reported. NCBI's taxonomy places the organism in Eukaryota, Metazoa, Chordata, Mammalia, Didelphimorphia, Didelphidae. The record is from Ensembl.